UGAGGAGAAUGUUGCUUCGAC
This 21-nucleotide non-coding RNA is filed under the name Arabidopsis thaliana (thale cress). Lineage: Eukaryota; Viridiplantae; Streptophyta; Magnoliopsida; Brassicales; Brassicaceae. The record is from RNAcentral.